This 1387-nucleotide ribosomal RNA is filed under the name uncultured organism. RNAcentral's name for it is "SSU rRNA". It matches the Rfam family "Bacterial small subunit ribosomal RNA". The record is from RNAcentral.
UAGCGACAGGCUUAACACAUGCAAGUCGAGGGGCAGCACAGGUAGCAAUACCGGGUGGCGACCGGCGCACGGGUGAGUAACGCGUAUGCAACUUACCUAUCAGAGGGGGAUAACCCGGCGAAAGUCGGACUAAUACCGCAUGAAGCAGGGGCCCCGCAUGGGGAUAUUUGCUAAAGAUUCAUCGCUGAUAGAUAGGCAUGCGUUCCAUUAGGCAGUUGGCGGGGUAACGGCCCACCAAACCGACGAUGGAUAGGGGUUCUGAGAGGAAGGUCCCCCACAUUGGUACUGAGACACGGACCAAACUCCUACGGGAGGCAGCAGUGAGGAAUAUUGGUCAAUGGCCGAGAGGCUGAACCAGCCAAGUCGCGUGAGGGAUGAAGGUUCUAUGGAUCGUAAACCUCUUUUAUAAGGGAAUAAAGUGCGGGACGUGUCCCGUUUUGUAUGUACCUUAUGAAUAAGGAUCGGCUAACUCCGUGCCAGCAGCCGCGGUAAUACGGAGGAUCCGAGCGUUAUCCGGAUUUAUUGGGUUUAAAGGGUGCGUAGGCGGCCUUUUAAGUCAGCGGUGAAAGUCUGUGGCUCAACCAUAGAAUUGCCGUUGAAACUGGGGGGCUUGAGUAUGUUUGAGGCAGGCGGAAUGCGUGGUGUAGCGGUGAAAUGCAUAGAUAUCACGCAGAACCCCGAUUGCGAAGGCAGCCUGCCAAGCCAUUACUGACGCUGAUGCACGAAAGCGUGGGGAUCAAACAGGAUUAGAUACCCUGGUAGUCCACGCAGUAAACGAUGAUCACUAGCUGUUUGCGAUACACUGUAAGCGGCACAGCGAAAGCGUUAAGUGAUCCACCUGGGGAGUACGCCGGCAACGGUGAAACUCAAAGGAAUUGACGGGGGCCCGCACAAGCGGAGGAACAUGUGGUUUAAUUCGAUGAUACGCGAGGAACCUUACCCGGGUUUGAACGCAUUCGGACCGAGGUGGAAACACCUUUUCUAGCAAUAGCCGUUUGCGAGGUGCUGCAUGGUUGUCGUCAGCUCGUGCCGUGAGGUGUCGGCUUAAGUGCCAUAACGAGCGCAACCCUUGCCACUAGUUACUAACAGGUAAAGCUGAGGACUCUGGUGGGACUGCCAGCGUAAGCUGCGAGGAAGGCGGGGAUGACGUCAAAUCAGCACGGCCCUUACAUCCGGGGCGACACACGUGUUACAAUGGCGUGGACAAAGGGAAGCCACCUGGCGACAGGGAGCGAAUCCCCAAACCACGUCUCAGUUCGGAUCGGAGUCUGCAACCCGACUCCGUGAAGCUGGAUUCGCUAGUAAUCGGGCAUCAGCCAUGGCGCGGUGAAUACGUUCCCGGGCCUUGUACACACCGCCCGUCAAGCCAUGGGAGCCGGGGGUACAA